GAUGAACGCUGGCGGCGUGCCUAAUACAUGCAAGUCGAGCGAACAGACGAGGAGCUUGCUCCUUUGACGUUAGCGGCGGACGGGUGAGUAACACGUGGAUCACCUCCCUAUAAGACUGGGAUAACUUCGGGAAACCGGAGCUAAUACCGGAUAAUAUCUUGAACCGCAUGGUUCGAUAGUGAAAGACGGCUUUGCUGUCACUUAUAGCUGGAUCUGCGCCGGAUUAGCUAGUUGGUAAGGUAACGGCUUACCAAGGCUACGAUGCGUAGCCGACCUGAGAGGGGGAUCGGCCACACGGGAACUGAGCCACGGUCCAGACGCCUACGGUAGGCAGCAGUAGGGAAUCGUCCGCAAUGGGCGAAAGCCUGACGGAGCAACGCCGCGUGAGUGAUGAAGGUCUUCGGAUCGUAAAACUCGGUUAUGAGGGAAGAACAAAUGUGGAAGUAACUGUGCACGGCGUGACGGUACCUAAUCAGAAAGCCACGGCUAACUACGUG
Molecule: ribosomal RNA, 497 nt
Filed under: uncultured bacterium
Lineage: Bacteria
Description: partial 16S ribosomal RNA
Rfam family: Bacterial small subunit ribosomal RNA
Source: RNAcentral